RNAcentral lists this unclassified non-coding RNA (219 nucleotides) under uncultured fungus. Its description in RNAcentral is "sequence contains ITS1, 5.8S rRNA gene". The stretch from base 171 to 219 matches the Rfam family "5.8S ribosomal RNA", at positions 1 to 49 of the family's 154-position model. The record is from RNAcentral. Lineage: Eukaryota; Fungi.
UCUCCGUUGGUGAACCAGCGGAGGGAUCAUUACAGGACUCGUCAGACUCCCGUAAACCACCGUGAACCUACCUAUUGUUGCCUCGGCGGGUGCUCGAGCUCGCUCGGCCCGCCGCUGGCCCCCUACACUGAAUCACUGCGUUGGCAUCUCAGAGUACACAAACGAAUCAAAACUUUCAACAACGGAUCUCUUGGCUCUGGCAUCGAUGAAGAACGCAGC